GACGAACGCUGGCGGCGUGCUUAACACAUGCGAGUCGUACGGUAAGGCCCUUUCGGGGGUACACGAGUGGCGAACAGGUGAGUAACACGUGAGUAACCUGCCCACAACUUUGGGAUAACGCUAGGAAACUGGUGCUAAUACUGGAUAUGUGCUCCUGCUGCAUGGUGGGGGUUGGAAAGCUCCGGCGGUUGUGGAUGGACUCGCGGCCUAUCAGCUUGUUGGUGGGGUAGUGGCCUACCAAGGCGGCGACGGGUAGCCGGCCUGAGAGGGUGACCGGCCACAUUGGGACUGAGAUACGGCCCAGACUCCUACGGGAGGCAGCAGUGGGGAAUAUUGCACAAUGGGCGCAAGCCUGAUGCAGCAACGCCGCGUGCGGGAUGACGGCCUUCGGGUUGUAAACCGCUUUCAGCAGGGACGAAGCUUUUUGUGACGGUACCUGCAGAAGAAGCACCGGCUAACUACGUG
This 465-nucleotide ribosomal RNA is filed under the name uncultured bacterium. RNAcentral's name for it is "partial 16S ribosomal RNA". It matches the Rfam family "Bacterial small subunit ribosomal RNA", at positions 28 to 507 of the family's 1533-position model. The record is from RNAcentral.